Ipomoea triloba (trilobed morning glory) is the source of this 279-nucleotide long non-coding RNA. RefSeq lists it as uncharacterized. The transcript has 2 exons. The record is from RefSeq and is a predicted model, not a curated record. Lineage: Eukaryota; Viridiplantae; Streptophyta; Magnoliopsida; Solanales; Convolvulaceae.
GGCUUUUUGUUUGUGGAGAGAAACUUUGCGCAAAGGAAAUGGGUCCGAUCGGCAACUUAAAUCAUAAAAGGUUUAGCUCCCGGCUGACCAGGUCCACCUGCGUUCGCUCCGAGUCUGGGAGGACCACCAGGUCCUCUUCCCUACAAAGAGAGCUCACUUGCCACUUGAACUACCCCAUAGGAUUAGGUUUACUGUGAACAUUAAAUUUACAUUUGUACAAGAAAUAUUGUUCUGAUUCUAAUUUCACAUAUACAUAUAUGAAACAAUUUAUUUAGAAAA